ACGAACGCUGGCGGCGCGCCUAACACAUGCAAGUCGAACGGAGUCAAGAGGAGCUUGCUUUUCUUGACUUAGUGGCGAACGGGUGAGUAACGCGUGAGUAACCUGCCCUGGAGUGGGGGACAACAGUUGGAAACGACUGCUAAUACCGCAUAAGCCCACGGAUCUGCAUGGAUCUGCGGGAAAAGGAUUUAUUCGCUCUAGGAUGGACUCGCGUCCAAUUAGCUAGUUGGUGAGGUAACGGCCCACCAAGGCGACGAUUGGUAGCCGGACUGAGAGGUUGAACGGCCACAUUGGGACUGAGACACGGCCCAGACUCCUACGGGAGGCAGCAGUGGGGGAUAUUGCACAAUGGGGGAAACCCUGAUGCAGCGACGCCGCGUGGAGGAAGAAGGUUUUCGGAUUGUAAACUCCUGUCGUUAGGGACGAUAAUGACGGUACCUAACAAGAAAGCACCAGCUAACUACGUG
RNAcentral lists this ribosomal RNA (467 nucleotides) under uncultured bacterium. RNAcentral describes it as "partial 16S ribosomal RNA". It matches the Rfam family "Bacterial small subunit ribosomal RNA", at positions 29 to 507 of the family's 1533-position model. The record is from RNAcentral.